This 254-nucleotide ribosomal RNA is filed under the name uncultured bacterium. RNAcentral's name for it is "partial 16S ribosomal RNA". It matches the Rfam family "Bacterial small subunit ribosomal RNA", at positions 524 to 776 of the family's 1533-position model. The record is from RNAcentral.
UACGGAGGGUGCGAGCGUUGUCCGGAAUCACUGGGCGUAAAGGGCGCGUAGGCGGCCUGAUAAGUAGGGGGUGAAAUCCUGCGGCUUAACCGCAGGGCUGCCUUCUAAACUGUCGGGCUCGAGCACGGUAGAGGCAGAUGGAAUUCCCGGUGUAGCGGUGGAAUGCGUAGAGAUCGGGAAGAACACCUGUGGCGAAAGCGGACGCACUGGACCAUAACUGACGCUGAUGCGCGAAAGCUAGGGGAGCAAACAGG